AGAUCCUACACAGUUGAUAGACGUCGUCGU
RNAcentral lists this small RNA (30 nucleotides) under Bombyx mori (domestic silkworm). Its description in RNAcentral is "ovarian small RNA-11953". Lineage: Eukaryota; Metazoa; Arthropoda; Insecta; Lepidoptera; Bombycidae. The record is from RNAcentral.